UGUGUGUAACAUAUACAUUCUCAUUACUCUGUUAGUACGGCCUGUGUGGAACAUAUACAUUCUCAUUGCUCUGUUAGUACGGCCUGUGUGGAACAUAUACAUUCUCAUUACUCUGUUAGUACGGCCUGUGUGGAACAAAUACAUUCUCAUUGCUCUGUUAGUACAGCCUGUGUGGAACAUAUACAUUCUCAUUGCUCUGUUAGUACGGCCUGUGUGGAACAUAUACAUUCUCAUUACUCUGUUAGUACGGCUUGUGUGUAACAUAUACGUUCUCAUUGCUCUGUUAGUACGGCCUGUGUGUAACAUAUAUGUUCUCACUACUCUGUUAGUACUAUCUGUGUGGAACAUAUACAUUCUCAUUGCUCCGUUAGUACUAGGGAUCGACCGAUAUUGAUUUUUUUAGAGCCAAUACCGAUAAUCUGUGAACUUUCAGGCCCAUACCCGAUAACUUACCGAUAUUCUGUACAUUUACCAGUUUGAAAAAAUAAACAAUUUCUAAAGGUAAAUGCACAAGAUAUACAUGCCACAUGUAGUGGAUGCAGUGUGUUUAGACAGGGGCGCUGUGUGUGUAGAGGAUGCAGUGUGUAUUUGUGUAGUGUGUGUAUAUAAAUUAUGCAGAGUGUGUUUGUGUAGUGCGUGUAUAGUGAAUGCAGUGAGUGUUUGUGUAGUGUGUGUGUAUAGUGAAUGCAGUGAGUGUUUGUGUAGUGUGUGUGUAUAUAUAAUGCAUACAGUGAGUGUUUGUGUAGUGCGUAUAUAAUGAAUGCAGUAUGUUUGUGUAGUGCGUGUAUAAUGAAUGCAGUGAGUGUUUGUGUAGUGUGUGUGUAUAAUGAAUGCAGAGUGUGUGUUUGUGUAGUGUGUGUGUGUGUAUAAUGAAUGCAGUGUGUUUGUGUAGUGUGUGUGUGUGUGUGUGUAUAAUGAAUGCAGAGUGUGUGUGUUUGUGUAGUGUGUGUGUAUAAUGAAUGCAGAGUGUGUUUGUGUAGAGUGUUUCUGUAGGUAGGUAUGUAAUUUCAGGGGAGGGGGCAUUUUAAAAAAUUAAAAUAAACACCAACACAAAGACAAACAGUACAAUAAAAAGUGGAGUGCUUAAUAAAAAAUAGUAACAUAGGAAACACAUUCUAAUUGCUUGUUACACCAUUACAUAUGAAGUGAUGGACUUAUGAGCUAAAACACCAUGACAUAUGCAAAUAUGCAAAACAAAACAAAUGAUGAGGUAUGAACAUUUCUUGUCUCAUAUUUGCACUUUAAAUCUAAAUCCGCACUAGUGAAAUCUGUUAAUUUUUAUUAUUUUUUUGUUCCCCCUUGUUACUUGGCUUGUUACUCUAGUAUUCCCUGGUGGUCCAGUGGCAUGGACAGUGCAGAGGGGCCCCAGCAAGCGCUUACUUACCUUCCCAGCAGCUCCCCAGUCUAAAUCUCGCGAAUCGUUGCCAUGGUAACCCGUGGCAACGCUCUGAUAGCUGCAGGACUCUCGAGAUUUACACAGGGGAGCAGCUGGGAAGGUAAGUGUGUGCUACUGGCCCUCCAGGAGAGAGUAAGAGAGAGCUUGUGGUAUUCACAGGGCUUUUAACAGGUUAGCCCUUCCUUCUGCUGGACACACCUCCCUCAGUCAAUCCCUUAGGAUGUAACAGAACCAGAGUGCCUCCUGGGGGAAGGGUGAUUGCAUUGGAAGCGAAUUUAUCAACAACCCAACUGGUUUUGCCUGGUGAAAGGCCAUGUGCCCACAGAGGACUCCAUUAUUGCCUAAGGGUAGAAUGGGGCUUGAAUACCUGUAUACAAUAACACUUCAUUGGGAUACAGUUUGGCUGUUAAUCAGUCCCGCCAUUUAAGUGGAUGAGACACUUAUGCCCCGUUUCCACGGUCUGGUACGCUAUUUUGAGUUCUUCCAUUAUGAAAGUGGCCCAUACAACCAAACCAAACUGCGCCAUUCCUGGGCCCCCUUCAGAUGUAGGUCCAUAAGAAAUGGUACGCUUAGGGCAGAGCUACUGGCGUCACGUUAUACAAUCCAUUUAUUGGCGGACAGGAAAACGUCAAUGCUCACUACAAAUAGCACGCUUUGCAUUUGGUCUAAACCCUGCAUGCCCCCUGGCGGUCCGACUUGCAGUGGAAACGCUCACCUGAAUAUGCUGAACCGUACUGACCCGAACCAUACCGCUCAGUGGAAAUGUGGCAUAAGACUUGUUAAGACACCUCCAGUGUCUUUAGGCAAAACCGCCGUUUAGUAGACCUUCCCCGUCUGCAGUAACAGUAACUCCGUUCGCCUAACCUGUAGUACGCGAACCAAAUGCAGGGGAAGCGGCAAUCUCCCGACCGGGAUCCGUGAACGGCUCCAAACUCCCGAACGGCAAUACACGAACUGCUGCUAGCCGCCGAACAACAAUAUCCACCAAGCGGCUUUCGUUUCCAUCCAGCAGUCUCUAAACGUGAAGAAGAAAUCCUCCCAAUAACGAGACAGAAGCUCCACAUUGAGGGUCAAACAGGAUCUGGCUUUACUGUGGGCUACUUGCCUGUAUUUAUGCAGGUUUCCCACUUGGUGGACACUCCCCUAGGGGACCAAAUGGGAAAAUUAAAUGACAGACAGAUAUGGGGACAUUCCAGACACACAGUCACAGAUUUUACCCACAGUGCAUUAUGAUUCCCUCCCCUCUGCCCUGGAGAUAAUUACCAAGUAACUCAAUUAUCUCCAGGACAAAGCCAGUCGCCAUUUUAAAUAUAAAAUCAUAAAAGACAUAAAAAUGCAUAACUUUCAAAUAACCGAACAUUUCCCAUUCGUAUCACAUAUCCCCAGAUAGCCUGGAUCUGAGUGCAUAUUAUUAGCGAAUAGCGCUCAGAUCCCACACACAUAAUUCAAUCGCCA
This 2851-nucleotide long non-coding RNA is filed under the name Pelobates cultripes (western spadefoot toad). Lineage: Eukaryota; Metazoa; Chordata; Amphibia; Anura; Pelobatidae. The record is from RNAcentral.